AUGCCGGGCCUUUGUAGGUCUGGCAAUUGGAAUGAGAACAAUUUAAACCCCUUAUCGAGUAUCAAUUGGAGGGCAAGUCUGGUGCCAGCAGCCGCGGUAAUUCCAGCUCCAAUAGCGUAUAUUAAAGUUGUUGCAGUUAAAAAGCUCGUAGUUGGAUUUGUGGCUGUCACGGGCGGCCUAUCACUUAGUGUUAGUGCUUGCCUGUGUCGCCAUCCUUGGGUGGAGCCCGUGUGGCAUUAGGUUGUCGUGCGGGGGAUGCCCAUCGUUUACUGUGAGAAAAUUAGAGUGUUCAAAGCAGGCUUAUGCCGUUGAAUAUGUUAGCAUGGAAUAAUAAGAUAGGACCUCGGUACUAUUUUGUUGGUUUGCGCACCGAGGUAAUGAUUAAUAGGGACAGUUGGGGGUAUUCGUAUUCCAUUGUCAGAGGUGAAAUUCUUGGAUUUCUGGAAGACGAACUACUGCGAAAGCAUUUACCAAGGAUGUUUUCAUUAAUCAAGAACGAAAGUUAGGGGAUCGAAGAUGAUUAGAUACCAUCGUAGUCUUAACCAUAAACUAUGCCGACAAGGGAUUGGCGGAGUUUCGUUUUGUCUCCGUCAGCACCUUAUGAGAAAUCACAAGUCUUUGGGUUCCGGGGGGAGUAUGGUCGCAAGGCUGAAACUUAAAGAAAUUGACGGAAGGGCACCACCAGGAGUGGAGCCUGCGGCUUAAUUUGACCCAACACGGGAAAACUUACCAGGUCCAGACAAAGUGAGGAUUGACAGAUUGAGAGCUCUUUCUUGAUUCUUUGGGUGGUGGUGCAUGGCCGUUCUUAGUUGGUGGAGUGAUUUGUCUGGUUAAUACCGUUAACGAACGAGACCCCUGCCUGCUAAAUAGCCUAGCAAAUGAGUUUUCAUUCGCCGGGGCUUCUUAGAGGGACGUGCAUUCUAUUAGAUGCAGGAAGAUAGGGGCAAUAACAGGUCUGUGAUGCCCUUAGAUGUCCUGGGCCGCACGCGCGCUACACUGAUGCGUUCAACGAGUUUCUUCCUUGGCCGAGAGGCCUGGGCAAUCUUUUGAACGCGCAUCGUGAUAGGGAUUGACACUUGCAAUUAUUUGUCAUGAACGAGGAAUUCCUAGUAAACGCAGAUCAUCAAUCUGCAUUGAUUACGUCCCUGCCCUUUGUACACACCGCCCGUCGCACCUACCGAUUGAAUGGUCCGGUGAAGCCUCGGGAUUGUGGCGAGUUUCCUUUAUUGGGAGUUUGUCGCGAGAACUUGUCUAAACCUUAUCAUUUAGAGGAAGGUGAAGUC
Molecule: ribosomal RNA, 1283 nt
Filed under: metagenome
Description: SSU rRNA
Rfam family: Eukaryotic small subunit ribosomal RNA
Source: RNAcentral